AUUAGAAAGAGAAUAAAAACAAUGCAAUAAAUAUUGAAAAUAGAAUUUUGAUGAAAAUUAAGUAGAAUUUCACAAUUUUAAUUUUCAUGCUUUUUUUUUGCAUAUUAAUUAGACUUAAUUUCAAAACAUUGUCAGCACUCGAGAUUUCCAUCACUUGGUCAUUCGUCAGUUUAACUCAGUAUGCCGAAUUUGAGAUUUUUAGAGAAUUUGUACUCAUGAAGAGCAUAUGAUGGGCCAGUUCUGAAUCCCAGUCAGUAGAAACGAGAUGAUCAAGUGAUGAACUAAACAGCAUCCUGUAGUAAGGGAUUAGAUGCAGUUAUACUCUACUAGCCGAAUGGGUGAAUUUCUUUUCUUAGGACAAUAUCUGGAAGACCAAAAGAAGCCUGUUGGGCUUAACACUGCAGAGAUACUCUACUGAAAGUCAAAUAAGGUCCGGAAUGGACUUUAUUCAGCUUGGACACUUCCUACAUUACUCAGUAUUCUGCCAUCAUUGUCUAUUUCACUUACCUUGUGGCAUACAUCACCAUAUUUCUCACAGGUACUUAAGUCAAUGCAAAAACAUUGAUUUAGGUACCAGUGAGAAGUAUGUUGAUUCUGCCACAGAUGUAUCCCAGACACUAUGAACAUGCUGGCAUGGCUGCAAAACAGGUAAAAACAUAUAAAUGUAGUGCCAAAUUAAAAAAAAAAAACACUGCUUAUUAAUACCUGAGUUGUGAAAAAGGAAAUAUAUAAUCAGUAUUAAACAGCAGUGAGAGUUUUUAAUCAGUAAACAAGAAUUUUUUCAUCUAAUAGUAGCCAAUAUCAGUGAUAUAAAGUUUAACAAAAAAUUACAGCAAUAAAUAGUAUUACAUAUUCCAGAAGUGCAAAGAAUAGUGAAGCAAAUACAGGAUUUUAAAAAUUCAAAUCCUGAAUAAUGUGCACAAGCAUUAUAUUAAGAAUUAAGCAACAGCUAAGUAUGAAAAUUAUGAUUUAUAAUUACAUUAAAAUAAUUACAAUAUUAAAAGUACAUGUAAAGGAGGAGGAGGCAAACAGAAACAGAAGGUAUUCAUGGAUCUGUAUUCAUGGGUUUAGCCUUGGAAAAUGGAAAGGAAGUGAGAAGAUGAAAGAGAGUAAGAGGAAAGGUAAAAGGAUCCUAUCAGAAGGAGUGUGAUAGAUCAUUAGGGAAGUAUACAGUAUUUGCCAUUUAUUAAUUUAUUUAAACAGCUUACAAAUUAUAGAAUUACAGUGUGUCAUUAACAGAAAUUUUAACAAUAAAAUAA
This 1259-nucleotide long non-coding RNA is filed under the name Androctonus crassicauda. The record is from RNAcentral. Lineage: Eukaryota; Metazoa; Arthropoda; Arachnida; Scorpiones; Buthidae.